UAAGGAUACGACUGCGUUUUCGACUCUUUCGUCUAGAAGGGGUUUCAACGGGGUCCAAGUGCUGUCCAAACUGCGUGUAUGAGGUUAGACUGAAUUGAGAAAGCUGUAACAGCCUGCAUUUUGAUGUGAACGAGGAGCACUGGAGAGACGUUCUUAGACAGGUGUGUGGGGGUGAAGUCUGUGAGUCAGGAGGUUGAUGUACUCUUGGUGUUGAAAGUUUCAAACCCGUAUUGCUUUAUGGGUCAAGUAUUUUGACAAGCAUGUUUUUAAAGGGCUUGUAGGAUGUUUGAAGUUUCAGAAGAUUCAGAAGGGUUCAGUGUCUUGAAAUUCUUGAUAUAUCAAAUGUUUUACUGGUCUGGUUGCUGAAUAAGACAGACAUUUGCCAUGCUCUAAUAGGUAUGAAUGACGUGACAUAAAUUCAGUGUUUGAGGUCCACAUGGCUGUUUAAAGUUUUGGGCAAGUUCACUACAAUCUGGAACUUCUUGUAAUGGUGGUUUGUCUGUUUCACGAAGCUUUAAGCUCCGAAAAAGUUACUCAGAGUGUAAAGGUAAAAGUGAUCAAGGAUUUGAUAUUGAGCUGUGGUCUCAUAAGGCUUAAUUUAUAUGAUCUGUGCCUUCCUGAAGUAUACAUUUUCCUCCAAUAGCUGUAAAGCUUUCAUAGGUAUUUCAUAAUUUUGGCUGUUUAGCCAUGAACUGGAUUAAGGCAAGCAAUGUCUGCCUUUUGACAAGCUGGGGGAAUGAGGACCAAUCUUGUCUCAGUAUUUGUCAUGUUUACCAAUUUCAUAAACCUUGAAAGAACAAACCCUGUUACUUUGACAUGGGUGAAUCAUCUGAAGGUAUGAGAACAGUACCAUUGGACCAAGAACUGGAUUUAAGGAAAGGACUGCCUGGCUGUUGACAAGCAGGGGGAGUCAGGGACCACCUGUCUUGAAUGUCUUAUAUUCAGGACAGAUUUCCUAAUUUCAUAAACCCUGAAGCAAGAACAAACCCUGCUACUUAAAGACAUGGCGGGAUCAUCUGAAGGUAUGGGAACAGUACCAUUGGAUUUCCAGUGAGGUGGGAAUGUGAAAUCACGUUAUGGUCAGUAUUUUUUGAAAGUAGUGACCUCAACUUUGCUCUUGAGGUUUAAUAUAUGGUAGUAUGGCUAUCAAAUUAAGUGGACAGUCUAGGGUAGUUUUAUAAAAUCUUCUAAUAGGGUGUUGGUUGAGGGUGAUGGUUGAGGACAUGUCACCAUUCUUUCAUAAUUAUGGCAUUAGGUAUUCUUGCCAUUCUUAUUCCGUAUGGGUUAAAUUGUAAUGUUAUGGAGUCUGUUGCCUUAAUGACCAUAAAAUCAGUUUGCCGUAACCUUUUACAUGGCAUGUCUGAAAAUGUUGAUAAAUGUUUAAUGGUAUAAGAAAGCUUAUUUAAGGUUUGUAUGAUGAAAUAUAAGUUAAAAUUUUUACUACUAAAAAUGUGAUCUUUUAACAUUUGGCCUUUCUAUUCUAGUUCAGGUUGCUGAGCACGAUUGUGGGUUUUGCCUUGGCAAUAAAUUUUAAUUGUUGAAGGAUCGACUAAUCUUUUAUUUUUUCGAAAAUACAGUAGGUGAGGAUGUAAUCUAAAUUACCUGUUUGUGGCAACUACAGAGUUUUGGAGAAGCCUACAGGUUUGGUAUACAGGAUAAGAAAAUAUGCUGAAUGGUUGUUUUCUCUUGAUUAUUUGUCAUGUAGCUUAGCUUAAGACCUAGCUUAAGUAUCUUAAGAAUUUUCUUGCACCACUAAUUCUUUUCAACAAUGUCUGAUAGUCUGUGUUAUACUUGACCAGCUGAAACUUAAAUUAGUCAAAUCUUUUAAAACCUAAAUGGCAGGCAUAAGCAUUAUGCAUUCAAUAAGAUAAAGUAGCUUUAAAUUGAAGUUUGUUUGAUUAUAAAUAGUAUAUGCACAAGCAUUCUGUAAUAGAUCCAAGUAAAUUUGGCGACUGGGCUAAACUGUUUCUAUCGAUAUUUUAUUGCUUUAUUUUUUUCUCCAGAUUUGCUCUCCAAAGAAAGAACUAGGACCACUACCAGUAUUAACAGGUGGUAUGUGAGCAACAGAUUCAGCAGCAUUAGUGCCUUGAAGGCGAAUUUUUUUUUACAAAGUCAAAACGUUCAUUUACGUGGGAGCUCCAGGUGUUGACUUUAUAC
Macrobrachium nipponense is the source of this 2157-nucleotide long non-coding RNA. RefSeq lists it as uncharacterized. The transcript has 3 exons. The record is from RefSeq and is a predicted model, not a curated record. Lineage: Eukaryota; Metazoa; Arthropoda; Malacostraca; Decapoda; Palaemonidae.